GUACCGGUCCGAUGAACCUGACGGCGCUUGAAGUACGUCGCAAGGCUGAAACUAAAGAUGCCGAGGAGCACCACACGGUGGAGCUGCGUUUAAUUGACUCACGCGGCAGCUCACUGAUAGACAGCGAAUGAUAGCCGGGCUGAAGACCUUGCUUGACCAGCUGAGAGAGGUGCAUGGCCGUCGUCAGUUCAUACUGUGACAGCAUCCCUGUUUAGUCAGGCAAACGAGCGAGACCCACGCCAACAGGUAGCUAGGGACCCUCCUCCCGGAAUGAUGAGGAACGAAGGAUAGGGACCGCCUCUGCUAAAGAGGAGGAAGGAAUGGAAGGGGGAUAGAGUCAGCAUGCCCCGAAUUAUCCGGGCUACACGCGGGCUACAAUGGUCAGGACAAUGGGAAACGACACAAAAAAAGUGUAGUCAAUCUCCUAAACCUGUCCCAAGUUCGGAUUGUGGGCUGCAACUCGCCCACAUGAAGCUGGAAUCCGUAGUAAUCGCGUUUCAAAAUAGCGCGGGAGUAAACCCUGCUCCUGCACACACCGUAAUCGUCCCGGCCCGUCG
This 557-nucleotide ribosomal RNA is filed under the name uncultured methanogenic archaeon. Its description in RNAcentral is "bacterial SSU rRNA". It matches the Rfam family "Archaeal small subunit ribosomal RNA", at positions 803 to 1368 of the family's 1478-position model. Lineage: Archaea; Methanobacteriati; Methanobacteriota. The record is from RNAcentral.